CUUAAUAUUUUUUGAUACAUUUCAAUCAAAAUUCCGUUAAUGGAGUAAUUGAACUGAUUAGUUUCAAGAAUUACAAUUAUAAAUUAUUCCAACUCAAUAUUCUUUAUUUUUAACAACAAAAACUUAAAUAAUUGAGUAAAUUGCCCUGUGCAAGUGCUCAUGGGAAGUCUGGUGUAACAUCAGAGACAAGAAGGCUGUGAGGAUGUGAGAAUGGACAUGAAGCACCUGGAACAUUCUGGAACAUUCCUUACAAAUCCUGCACCAACACCACUAAUGAAGAGAAGUUGAAUGGAGAUAAAACAGGAGGUGCCAGCAUUAUGGGAUGGCAGUGUAAACUCUGCAC
Clarias gariepinus (North African catfish) is the source of this 343-nucleotide long non-coding RNA. RefSeq lists it as uncharacterized. The transcript is spliced from 3 exons. Lineage: Eukaryota; Metazoa; Chordata; Actinopteri; Siluriformes; Clariidae. The record is from RefSeq and is a predicted model, not a curated record.